Molecule: transfer RNA, 85 nt
Organism: Felis catus (domestic cat)
Lineage: Eukaryota; Metazoa; Chordata; Mammalia; Carnivora; Felidae
Rfam family: tRNA
About the family: Transfer RNA (tRNA) molecules are approximately 80 nucleotides in length. Their secondary structure includes four short double-helical elements and three loops (D, anti-codon, and T loops).
Source: Rfam
ACCUGGGUGGCUUAGUCGGUUAGGCGUCUGACUUCAGCUCAGGUCAUGGUCUCACGGUUCGUGGGUUCGAGCCCCGCAUCGGGCU